AACAAAAUGGCUGAAAUAGUGGAAAAUUGUAAAUUUUUAUAUAGAUAAUUCUUUUUGUUA
Molecule: transfer RNA, 60 nt
Filed under: Setaphyes kielensis
Lineage: Eukaryota; Metazoa; Kinorhyncha; Allomalorhagida; Pycnophyidae
Description: tRNA-Tyr
Source: RNAcentral